UACGGAGGGUGCGAGCGUUAUUCGGAAUCACUGGGCGUAAAGGGCGCGUAGGCGGCCUGGUAAGUCAGGGGUGAAAUCCCACGGCUCAACCGUGGAAUUGCCUUUGAAACUGCUGGGCUUGGAUCCUGGAGAGGGUGGCGGAAUUCCUGGUGUAGCAGUGAAAUGCGUAGAUAUCGGGAGGAACACCAGUAGCGAAGGCGGCCAUCUGGCUGAUAACUGACGCUGAGGUGCGAGAGCGUGGGGAGCAAACAGG
This 253-nucleotide ribosomal RNA is filed under the name uncultured microorganism. Its description in RNAcentral is "partial 16S ribosomal RNA". It matches the Rfam family "Bacterial small subunit ribosomal RNA", at positions 524 to 776 of the family's 1533-position model. The record is from RNAcentral.